RNAcentral lists this ribosomal RNA (549 nucleotides) under uncultured bacterium. RNAcentral's name for it is "bacterial SSU rRNA". It matches the Rfam family "Bacterial small subunit ribosomal RNA", at positions 11 to 552 of the family's 1533-position model. The record is from RNAcentral.
GUUUGAUCAUGGCUCAGAUUGAACGCUGGCGGCAGGCUAACACAUGCAAGUCGAGCGGUACGACAGGAGAGCUUGCUCUCUGGGUGACGAGCGGCGGACGGGUGAGUAAUGUCUGGGAAACUGCCUGAUGGAGGGGGAUAACUACUGGAAACGGUAGCUAAUACCGCAUAACGUCUACGGACCAAAGUGGGGGACCUUCGGGCUCAUGCCAUCAGAUGUGCCCAGAUGGGAUUAGCUAGUAGGUGGGGUAAUGGCUCACCUAGGCGACGAUCCCUAGCUGGUCUGAGAGGAUGACCAGCCACACUGGAACUGAGACACGGUCCAGACUCCUACGGGAGGCAGCAGUGGGGAAUAUUGCACAAUGGGCGCAACUGAUGCAGCCAUGCCGCGUGUGUGAAGAAGGCCUUCGGGUUGUAAAGCACUUUCAGCGAGGAGGAAGGGUUCAGUGUUAAUAGCACUGUUCAUUGACGUUACUCGCAGAAGAAGCACCGGCUAAACUCCGUGCCAGCAGCCGCGGUAAUACGGAGGGUGCAAGCGUUAAUCGGAAUU